AUUUUCAAUUGCCUCUGAUUCUCAGCCACUUUCAAGGGGGAAAAGGUCAUUCCAUAAACCUGAGGUGCUAGUGUGACGAUGGCAGUGCUGGAUCGCUAUGACACCCUCUGCGCUGGGGACAGGGGAGGGGAGAGCUAAUUAAUCGGAAAUCUUACUUUGCAGGCGAGAGUCACUGGAAGCAGGUGUCAGGGGGCCUUUAACGAGGCCCUCGUGACUCGGAUGGUAUUUUCACUCCGUCUCACCUGAGCGUGCAUUGAGCACCUACUAGGCGCCAGCCCCGAGUGACGUGCUGGGAGUUAAUGAGGAGUCCUGCUGCUGGGGCCCUGCCAGGCUAGACCGGCCUGCUCACUCAGGAGAUGGACGGGCGCUAAUAGACGAGAGUGGACUGCGGCAAUCCCGGCGGAUGAAGACCAAGCAGGUGCUCUGCAGGAGGAGCAUUCCUGACGGAGGUGGGAGAGGAGCUGGAGAGGAGCUGGAGAGGAGGGCAGCGCCACAGUCCGGGUGCUCGGCUUUAUUGUGGCGGUAAAGCGCGGCCCUCAGGACCCGGAUGGGGCCCUUGGCGCAGUGCUUCUAAGUUGUGUUUCCCUUGCC
Molecule: long non-coding RNA, 591 nt
Organism: Heterocephalus glaber (naked mole-rat)
Lineage: Eukaryota; Metazoa; Chordata; Mammalia; Rodentia; Bathyergidae
Source: Ensembl